Small nucleolar RNA from Juglans regia (Persian walnut), 108 nucleotides. The record is from RefSeq and is a predicted model, not a curated record. Lineage: Eukaryota; Viridiplantae; Streptophyta; Magnoliopsida; Fagales; Juglandaceae.
UACGCAUGGUGAUGACACAUAUUCAACAACUCCUUAAACCUCUCACAAUCUUGAUACAAAGUCUCACUAUUAUUUUGUGCAAAAGUGGAGAUCUGCCUCUCUAAAGCA